UUCUCAGUAUUCUGGAGCUCUUCUCUUUUACAUAGUAAGGAUUGGGAAGGGAGUACUUGUAUCUUCUGUGGUACUGGGCAGCAACUCCUUUUUGUGACCAAGAAAGAGAAGAAAAACACACCGAGUUACGCUUCCUGGCACCUUUUCCAGCUCCUCUGGAGAACUUGGCCCUUGCUAGUCAUCAAGAAGACCUUGAGCAAGAGAAGAAUCUCCUCCUGCCAAGCUUUCUUCCCCAGCAGAGGUCAACUUGUAGUAACGCGGUGUGGAGAUGAGUCAGUGCAAAAUGGACUUGGUAAACACUUUUACCCUCCUUCUCCAGAGACAGCUGCACUUAUUGCUUCAUCCAAGAACCACUGAGGGGGGGAGGGAUUGAACACUCCUCACUGGAAUCCUGGGCAGCAGCUCCUGUGAAGAACAGGCACCUGAGGAGCAUGAGAGAAAAGCUGAGACUGUAUCUGGAACGAGCUCUCUGCUGCUCUGGGAGAAUAACAACCAGCUCUUGGAGUAAGGGACAAUGCUCUGAGGAUUGUUCAGCUGGACCUAAAAGUUUUUGGGCUGUGAAAUGUAGAAUUAGAGAAAAUGUGGGAUUAGAGAAGCAUGGAAGAUAACUACUAAGAUAACUACUAAGAGUUCCCUGCAAAUGAAGACUCUGGCUUUACAUACUUGGCCUCUGGGAAAAAAUACAGGCAGAAUUGGCUUGUAAAGCAGAAAACAUGUUGGUUCUUCAUCCAGUUUUGAAAGAAAAAAAACCCAGACAACAAAAGCAUUCAUCUGGGUUUUCACACCAGCAGAUGACUGUCUAAAACAUGUAUUCUCAAUCACUGUCUAUGUGUAUAUUUAGUACAAAACCAUGUUUAUGCAAACAAAGAUAAGCCAAGAGACUUGUGUUAUCAUGUGAUGUUAGCAAACUUACUCUCACAGGAAGACAAAUAGUUUAUUAAGCAUCCUGACCCUGGAAUUUGAGCACCUCUACUUUUCCAUCCAUAAAUCCUCCUAAAUCGAUGGUUUCUGGGUGUUGAUGGCUCGCCUUAGGCCCUCUCUACAUACCAUCCUUAGGAAAGGAAGCUUGGGAUAUCUGUUUCAGGUUCCAGCUGCUGUGCUGGGGGAUGUGAGAAGCGUGCUCAGGCUCAUUAAAUCUGCAGGACUUGGAAGCUGUGCCCGUGGUGACACCACAGACAACAUUCCAGUGAGACCCAAGCGCUGGAACUCUUUGGCAUCGAGCACAGCCCAUGUGAGAGCUCAGGAGCAGUUCCAGAGCUGACUCCAACAUGUCUCCUUGUUUUUCAGCUGCUGACAUAGAGGUGGUUUUUUAAAAAAAGUCCAAAAUGAAACAGAUGUCCUUGGGGAAGCUGGAGAUGGAAAUAUUUCUCGUGUGAGCCAUCGCACACACACGGACUGGAGGCUGCUUUGGGAGGUUUCUCCAGAGACCAGAGACCUUUCCCGCAGGUCGUGGGGAGCAGAGCUUUUUCCUGCCUGGAAUUUGGUGGGUAAAACACGACACAGUGCUUGAGGUGGAAUUCUUAAGCACCCAGAGGAUAAAAUCCUACAGGAAUAUACUUCCCCAGGCUAAGAGAGGACAGUACUUUUUAAAAACAUGGAUAAGCCAGCUAUGCUGCUGUGCCAUUUCAGUUGUUUCCAACUACAGGCAGAGAUCCAGAGACAUCCUGGAUCCGAAAGAUCCACUCUGGAUUCCAAAGGAAGGAAUCUUUCCCUUUAAGCCUGCUCAUUUCUUCAGUUUAACACAACCAACCUGAAAUACUCUGUUUCUUUUAAACUCUGGUUGCUUUUGAAUUGCUUUCAUCUAGAGUGUGAAAUUCCAAGUCACUGUGAAAAAGCUGCCUUAGGAAUAUUCUUGGCGAUGCUGCAAGCAGAAAGUACAGGAAACCUCCCAAGAGAGGUUGUUCCAGCAACACUGCCAUCCACGUUUCACAGCUGCAGGGACAUCCAGAGCAAAUCCAAACACCAGCUUUUCCCUUCAACAGAGCCUUUGCUGAGGUACAACUGCCCGGGAUCAAUCCCUGGAAGUGUGCAAGGCCUGGCUGGACUGGGCUUGGAGCAACCUGGGACAAUGGAUUAUUCCUCCAGAGGAAUAAGGGAGGGUGUGCUGGCAUAAUUCCUCUUCAGUUUGGUUUUAAUAUCAGUAUUCCUUCAAGUUUGCAGUACAACUAACAUUUUUUAAUUCCGUCCUUUCAGAAUUAUUUUGCUUUUAGGCAGUAGAGGUGUUAUUUAUUUAUUGGUAUUACUGAAUUUUCUCAUUGAUAGAUAUUUUUUCCUGAUCCUGGCAACUGUAAUAACCACGUAACCCUGACCUUAAUAUUUAACCCACUGAGGCUGAUUUAGGAAAAACUAUCAGAGAGGUCUUGUACAGGUUAAAAAAAUACCUGUAUAGCAGUGUGACUGUGGUUGUGUGUGCACAGUGAGCUGGGUCAGCAAAUAAUUUAUCAGUAAUUCUUAUGCAGAAGUCUGACUUACUAUUUUCUAACACAUAAUAUUGGAAUUAUUUGGAUUUCACGAGGCAAAUUUAAGGAGUGAGUAAAGCUUCUGUGAAAAUGCAAAGAUUUGGCUCAAUAAAUUAGAAUGCUUUACUGCUAGCCAGAAAACUGCAGUAAAAAAAGUGCACCAGGUUGGUGGAUUUAUUGUAAGUGAAGUGUAAUCUCUAAGUAAGAAUGAGUGUUGAUGGGGAGUGAUGAGAUGCAAAGUCUGACUGGCACAGGGGUCAGGAAUUAAAAGUUGGCCUCAGCAUUAAGAAUAAAUCACAUAUAGAAAUAUAAUUUCGGCACAGUUCUGUUCCAGCUUUUGAGGAUACACCAACUCCCAAAAGGCAUCCUGGGGCCUGUUGUUAUUUUGGGAUGCCUCAGCCCCAGCUGGAUUCAGACAGAAGUUAACCAACAGCAUUUAAUUACAGCCACAGCAGAGGCUUCUGUCAAACAGUGCAGUCCAUACAGAAAAUGGGAAGUAAUUGUGUAAGGACUGAAGACCUUAAAUCAUAUAAGUGGAAGGAAUAAAGAGAAUUCAGGUUCAAAGUGGAAGCAGCACCUUAGUGCAGCAAAAGCCCCCCAGCCUGGCAGGAUUUGGCAUUAUGGAGUGCAAUAGCCAAGGGAAGGAGUUGGAAGAGGCUAAAGUUGCCCAGGAUUUGCACCCACAGUGUGUGAUCUCGAUGCUUCAGGGGCAAGGCAAUGUGAAGGGAGAAUGAAUGUACGUGAGGGAGCAAAGACAAGGUGUGGGAUCAAGCCAUAAGGAAUUGAUCUACUCUGUAAUAAACUGGUUGUUCGGGGCUGCCUUUCAUCCCUGUCAGGGAGAUGCCAUGAGCACCACCCACGGAAUACACGGGUUUUAAAGAGCAAAAGCUGAGGAGGCUGAGGUCAAGCAAGGACAAGUAAACUCCGACUGGAAUUGCUCUUAGUGAGGGGCCUCGUUUGUUUUUGGACUCCUGUGUGAAGUCAUUAACAAAGAAGGCACUUAGAUUCCAGGAGCGGGAAGUUUUGGAACAGAAGCAGACAGAAGAUAUUGCCGUGGUUGGGCUAAAAGUGAGACAGAACUUCUUCCUUACUCCUGAGGGAUGUACAUGGGGAACAGGCAAAAGGUGGGUGCAUCCAAAUCACAAGAAGGUUUUGCUAUAAAAUGAGAACAUACAGCAUAAAAUCUCCAGCACUAACUAAAUAUAAGAGUAAACCAAACAUUUUCCUCGUUCUCCCAACGAAACAACUCAGCAAAUGCAUCGGCAAAGGCAGGUGAAUAAUCGAGUCACUCUUGGUUCUCAGCUCUCCAGGGAAUUUCAGGUACUCUUGGAAUCUUAGGUACUCUUGGAAUCUUGUGGCUCAUGGCAUGGCAAUAACGUGAAGUUCUUAGAUUGGGCUUUUUUAGGGUUUUCUUCUUCUUUUUGUCUACAUACAAAUUUUUUUUGUGAUAGCAAGAUGCAUACAUCAAGAUGUCAUCCAGUGUGUAAUCAACUGUAUGCUGGUUAUGGUUUUAUUAUCAUAAUCAAUUACUUUGCCUCCCUGUAAAAUAUAUAAUUAGGUUCAAGGUCAAGAAAAUUUAUAAAUGUCCAAUAUUUAACAAUUACUUAAUAUGUAUGCAGUUAAAAUUGAGUCUCAACAGAGAUCUUGGUUAAAGACUGAAAACUGUGAAGUGGGUUAGAAGGAUUUCACAAUGGGUGAGAAUCACCAGCCAUGCCAUAAUCUAAUAUAGCCAGACUAAACUGUUGUGUCCUUCUAGAUAGUUGUAAUAGAAGUAAUAAUUGCCUCUUACACGAUGGAAUGUUUAAUAUUAAUUCAUGUUUCUAGAUUUUACAUCAGGUUCUGGGCUAUGAAGUGUGUCCCAUAGGCAUUUUUCCAGCUGUUUAUCUCCACUUUGCUACAAUUGUAGCAACAGUAACUCCUUGCUAAGAAAAAUACAAACACAUUUGUUACAAUGUAGCUUAAUUUGUUGGUUUUUUUGUUUUUUUGUUUUUUUUUUUUUGUUAUUAAAACCUAGAGUAACUGACUAAUUGUGUUGUUACAUCGCUACAUCUAAAAAAAGCCCCCAGAUGAACUUUAUAAAGUACUAACUAGUUUGUCAAUUUUGGAUCAGAUUUCAAAGUAUGAAAUUUUGACCAAAAUAGGGAAAAAAAUUGCAAUUAACUAUAGAACUGGUCAGAUUUUAAAUGCUGAUUAAAACCAAAUAUGUUUAAAAUCUAUGUCCAGCUCUCCCCUCUCCUCACUUUUCCCCUGCUAGCUCAAAUGGUAGUCUGGGAAGAAGUGGAGGUAAAAUUUCUCCUCACCAUCUGUUAUCUGACAUUUGAAAAAAAGUCCUUGUUUGACCAGUAAUGAGAGAAUUAGCAACAUUUGGGCCAUAAAUCAUUGCCCUCAAAUUUACAAAGCUGAUAUGUUU
This is a long non-coding RNA of Pseudopipra pipra, 4869 nucleotides long. RefSeq lists it as uncharacterized. NCBI's taxonomy places the organism in Eukaryota, Metazoa, Chordata, Aves, Passeriformes, Pipridae. The transcript has 6 exons. The record is from RefSeq and is a predicted model, not a curated record.